Molecule: long non-coding RNA, 1596 nt
Organism: Lolium rigidum
Lineage: Eukaryota; Viridiplantae; Streptophyta; Magnoliopsida; Poales; Poaceae
Exons: 3
Source: RefSeq, a predicted model, not a curated record
UGCAUGUCGAUUCUCAACUCUAGACCUGAUCGGAUUCUGGUCUCUAACUCUGGAUUGGUCUUAACCUGAGUGUAUUAGUAAUGUGCUACUACUGGUUUAGGAUUUGGAUGACUCGGAUGGUUCUUUGUAUUGCAGCUCCAUUGCCAUGUUCAACAGUUUGGAGGGGUUCAGUCGCUGAUUGAUGCGCUUUAGCUUCCAGGUCAUUAAAUUUAUAAGAAGCUGUCAGCCAUCAUAACACAAGAGGUUCAACUUUUUACCCUUUGAUUGUUGAUUCAUGUGCUUCAGCCUGAAGUUCCUUGUGACUUGGACACUUCAUUUAUGAUCAGCUGUGGUCUGUAGAAGUGCGGUUGAAUUUUUUUUUAUUUGGAGCUUUACUGAACAUGUGUUCGUCAUCAGAACGUCUUGUGCGCCAUGAGCAGAAGUGCAUCCCUCAAGCCUCAAGAAAGGAUUGUGUUUGGUAUUUCUAUGUUUUAUCUACGUGUGGUUUACCUCUCCACCCAUGAUAUUGUUGCCCAUUCAGGUGCUAUACCAACCUAUAUCUUGUUUUAAUGGAUGUAUUCCAUUACGAUUUACUAUUUUUUACCUUUAAUUGGAUACCACCAGUGCACUGUGAUGGUGAAAGCAUGCAAAGCCCUGUGAUGGAAGAGAUCAUGCAGUCUGUGGUUUCUUUGACAUAACAUCAGUAUGGGAACUAUGUUAUCCAGGUGGAUGCUUAUUCAUUUGCCUGCAUAUCUUGCAACAUGGAAAACUAGAAUAGUGUGCUUCUGCAAUCAGAUGACGCGUUGGACAGACCGUGAAGAUGAUCCAGCAGAAAUUCGCUUCCAACGUUGUCGAGAAGUGCCUUUCUUUUGAUUUUCUUGACGGGCGCCAAAUUUUAAUUGAUGAGAUGGUUGGCGCUACCGAUGAGAAUGAGCCAUUUUCUUCUGCCUCUACCACAGAAGUGCAUAAAUUUUCCUCCUGAUCGAUGCCGUCAUGGUCAACACCUCAACAAGUUUUCUUCAAAAUUACUGCUGAGACCUGGGAUGUUGUUGGACGCAAUUUGUUACGGCAGCUGGGACACAGACAACGGGGACCUGAUUAGCUCGUCGCUGGACCACCUCUUGUUCUGUUGGCUAUCUGUAGUCUGAAGUUUGUAUGUACAACGCUGUGUGAGUGAGUUUGGUACCCAUGCUUGGAGUGGCCAUGUCCGCCUCACGCAGCCCCAUCACUGCCUUUUUUUUUCUUCAAGGCCGGAACCUGUAGUUUGCAAUCAAAUAUGCAGAAGCUAUUGGGAUUUCACGCUAGGUGCUCUGAGACGGACUGCAACCCCAAGCACGACCUAGCCGAGUUCCUCGCCAACUCCAUCAUCUACCGCUACCUCUGCAGCAGCGAGGACCUGCUCCAGGACGUCCUUGGCGGCAUGGACGCACUCGCCGCGUUCGGAAAUCGGAUGAGAAGGGAUACCUUAACUCAAGUUGUUUCUGUCCGUCGCUGAUAUGUUCAUACUAUGCUGAACUAUGAGGAUAAUUAAAUUAGCGGAACUGAAUCGUGUUUGUACGAACUGGAGUAUUGAAGUUCAGCAUUUUAGAGGCAAAAAUAUGUGCUUCCGAGCACCAA